RNAcentral lists this long non-coding RNA (1651 nucleotides) under Mytilus galloprovincialis (Mediterranean mussel). Lineage: Eukaryota; Metazoa; Mollusca; Bivalvia; Mytilida; Mytilidae. The record is from RNAcentral.
CGUAAAACAAUCUUAUCCUAAAGUAAAUGCUAAUAAAAUGACGUUUUUCUUUUGCAAGGAGAGUCUUUAAUAAGUCGAAACUAGUGAUAAGGUUUGCCAAACACUAGAUAAGCACUUUUGUAAAAAGAUUCUUUCAAUGAACAUAUCAAUCAUGAUUUGAUUUUUCAGACAAGAAGUCGUAAACGCAUUCGAACACAUAUAUCUGCAUUCGAGGUUGCUGACUAUUUUUGUAAAAAAAUAUAGAUGAACAAAUUUAGUAUUUCAAUUGUUCAUUACUAACUUACUUCAUUAAUAUUCAAUUAUUGACUCGUUUUGUUCUUAAUUUCAGGAGAAUUUUCAAACUUGUAGAAUAAUCUCACAACAUCAGAAGCAAAACUUUUGGCGAGUUUUUAAACAGGUAUAUUCGAAUGACUGUCAGAAAAAAGAAAAUCGUCGAAAUCAAGAUAAUCAAUUGUAGAUUUAUUCUUCCUAACAUAACGGCACUAUUGAAUGUCGUCUACUUUUGCUGAAAAAUUUACCUAAAAAAAAAGGCUCGUAAAACAGUCUUAUCCAAAAGCAAAUGCUAAUAAAGUGAUGUUUUUUUCCUUUUCAAGGAGAGGUUUUAAACAGUCGAAACUAGUUACAAGGUAUACACCAAAAUAAAUAAGCACUUUUAUGAAAAGAUGCUUUCAAUAAACAUAACAAUGGAAACUUCAUAUUUCAGACAAUUGGUCGUAAACGCAUGCGAACGUAUAUAUCUGCAUUCGAGGUUACUGAUAAUUUUUUGGUAAAAAAAUAUAAAUGAACUGAUACAAAGUUAGUGUAUACUGUUUUCCAUUGUAUAAUGAUUACUAUCUGCAUUGAUAUUCAAUUAUUGACUUUUUUUUCUAUUAUUAAUUUCAGUAGAAUUUCCAAACUUAUGGAAUACCCUUACAACAUAAGAAUCAAAACUUUUGGCGACUUUUAUUGUUUGUUUUAUAGAGAUUAACAUAAUAACACAAUGUUCACUGCUGUGCCUCUAUUUUUAACAUUUUUACUUAUUAUGUCUGUCUUGUUUUUGUUAAAUUUUUUAUAAGACAAUCAUACAAGUGAGAGGUUUACCUAGCUUUAAAACCAGGUUUAAUCCACCAGUUUUUAUAAAAGAAAAUGCAUGUACUAAGUCAUGAUUAUGACAGUUGAUGUUGAUUGGUUUGAUAUGGUCAUUAUUUUCUAUUGUACUUUGAUUACUAUCUUCAUUAAUAUGCAAUCUUUCACUAUUUCCUAUUAUUAAUUUCAGGAGCAUUUCCAAACUUAUGGAAUGAUCUAACAACAUCAGGGUCAAAACAUUUGGAGACAUUUACAAAAGGUUUAUUCGAAUGACUGUUAGAAUAAACUAUACAUCAAUAUCAAGAUAAUCAACUGUACAUUUAUUCUACCUAAUAUAACGGCACUAUUGAAUGUAGUUCACUAUUGCUAAAAAAAAUAUGAAAAAAGUAGGCACGUAAAAUUGUCUUUCCUAUAAACAAUUCUGAAUAAAAUGACGUUUUCUUUUGCAAGGAGAGUCUAUAAAAAGUUGAAACUAGAGGAAAAGUAUGCACAAAAAUAUAUAAGCACGGUUAUAACAAAAUUAUUUCAAUGAACAUAACAAUGGUAGGGUCAUUUUUCAGACAAUUAGUCUUAAACGCAUUCGAAA